This 613-nucleotide ribosomal RNA is filed under the name Sordariomycetes sp. genotype 409. RNAcentral describes it as "eukaryotic LSU rRNA". It matches the Rfam family "Eukaryotic large subunit ribosomal RNA", at positions 1 to 589 of the family's 3401-position model. The record is from RNAcentral. Lineage: Eukaryota; Fungi; Ascomycota; Sordariomycetes.
UGCUCCUGCCGUUAAAGACCCCAUCUUUAACCAAGGUUGACCUCGGAUCAGGUAGGAAUACCCGCUGAACUUAAGCAUAUCAAUAAGCGGAGGAAAAGAAACCAACAGGGAUUGCCCUAGUAACGGCGAGUGAAGCGGCAACAGCUCAAAUUUGAAAUCUGGCUUCGGCCCGAGUUGUAAUUUGUAGAGGAUGCUUUUGGUGAGGUGCCUUCUGAGUUCCCUGGAACGGGACGCCAGAGAGGGUGAGAGCCCCGUAUAGUCGGCCACCGAUCCUCUGUAAAGCUCCUUCGACGAGUCGAGUAGUUUGGGAAUGCUGCUCAAAAUGGGAGGUAUAUCUCUUCUAAAGCUAAAUAUAGGCCAGAGACCGAUAGCGCACAAGUAGAGUGAUCGAAAGAUGAAAAGCACUUUGAAAAGAGGGUUAAAUAGCACGUGAAAUUGUUGAAAGGGAAGCGCUUGUGACCAGACUUGUGCCGGGCUGAUCAUCCAGUGUUCUCACUGGUGCACUCGACCCGGCUCAGGCCAGCGUCGGUUUUCGCGGGGGGAUAAAAGCUUCGGGAACGUGGCACCUCCGGGUGUGUUAUAGCCCGUUGCUUAAUACCCCCGUGGAGACCGA